UAGGCUGCAUCGUGAGAUGCGGGGUAGGGGAGCGUUGUGUAAGCGGAGAAACAGUAGCGUAAGCGGCUGUGGAGUUUACAGAAGUGAGAAUGCCGGAAUGAGUAGCGCGAAUGCAGUGAGAAUCUGCAUGGCCGAAAGCCUCAGGUUUCUGGAGGAAGGUUCGUCCGCUCCAGGUUAGUCGGGAGCUAAGGUGAGGCCUAACGGCGUAGCCGAUGCACAGACGGUAGAGAUUCCGUCACCACCAAAAGAGUUAAGCACAGGGACACAUAUGAAGUCUCGGAGCCGGGUGUUGGUUCCGGUAGCGAUCGAGGGAAAUUAGUACCGAAGUCCGGGAUGGAAGAUGGCGAGAAAAGCUGUGUGUAUUUCUGCGGUGCCCGUACCGCAAACCGACACAGGUAGGUAGGAAGAAGAUUCUAAGGCCAACGGGAGAAGGGUUGUUAAGGAACUCGGCAAAUUGACCCCGUAACUUCGGGAGAAGGGGUGCUCCAGAGAUGGAGCCGCAGAGAAUCGGCCCAAGCAACUGUUUACCAAAAACACAGGUUUGUGCUAAAUCGAAAGAUGACGUAUACGAGCUGACGCCUGCCCGGUGCUGGAAGGUUAAGAGGAGAUGUGCAAGCAUUGAAUCGAAGCCCCAGUGAACGGCGGCCGUAACUAUAACGGUCCUAAGGUAGCGAAAUUCCUUGUCAGGUAAGUUCUGACCCGCAUGAAAGGCGUAAUGAUUUGGGCACUGUCUCAACAGCCCGCCCGGCGAAAUUGUAGUACCGGUGAAGAUGCCGGUUACCCGCGACAAGACGGAAAGACCCCAUGGAGCUUUACUGUAGCCUAAUAUUGGGUUUCGAUGUUGCAUGCACAGGAUAGAUGGGACACAGGGAAACAAGUGCUUUGGCAUUUGUGGAGUGGCCGUUGGGAUACCAUCCUUGCGAUAUUGGAAUUCUAACCUGCGCCUUUGAAUCAAGGCGGGGGACAUUGUUAGGUGGGCAGUUUGACUGGGGCGGUCGCCUCCUAAAGAGUAACGGAGGCGUUCAAAGGUUCGCUCAGCUUGAACGGAAAUCAAGCAAAAGAGUGCAAACGCAGAAGCGAGCCUAACUGCGAGACUGACGGGUCGAGCAGUAACGAAAGUUGGAGUUAGUGAUCCGGUGGUAUGUGAGUGGAAAUGCCAUCGCUCAACGGAUAAAAGUUACCCUGGGGAUAACAGGCUGAUCUCCCCCAAGAGUCCACAUCGACGGGGAGGUUUGGCACCUCGAUGUCGGCUCAUCGCAUCCUGGGGCUGUAUUCGGUCCCAAGGGUUUGGCUGUUCGCCAAUUAAAGCGGUACGCGAGCUGGGUUCAGAACGUCGUGAGACAGUUCGGUCCCUAU
Molecule: ribosomal RNA, 1356 nt
Filed under: human gut metagenome
Description: bacterial LSU rRNA
Rfam family: Bacterial large subunit ribosomal RNA
Source: RNAcentral